RNAcentral lists this ribosomal RNA (567 nucleotides) under Arthrobotrys psychrophilus. RNAcentral's name for it is "Monacrosporium psychrophilum 5.8S ribosomal RNA". The stretch from base 204 to 357 matches the Rfam family "5.8S ribosomal RNA". The record is from RNAcentral. Lineage: Eukaryota; Fungi; Ascomycota; Orbiliomycetes; Orbiliales; Orbiliaceae.
GAUCAUUACCAAUACGCAGUGAGCAAUCACUGUCUGCCUGUUUGGUGGCCCUUGGGCCGCUAAUCAGUCAACCCUUUGUGAACCAAAAAAACCUUUCGCUUCUGCAGCGGGGCCUCACCGCCUGUCAGCCUGCGGUUAGCAUCAACCUUUAAACCUGUUGUCAAAAACAUUGUCUGAUAACCAAAUUUUCGAAUGAAAAUUAAAACUUUCAACAACGGAUCUCUUGGUUCCCGCUUCGAUGAAGAACGCAGCGAAACGCGAUAGUUAAUGUGAAUUGCAGAAUUCAGUGAAUCAUCGAGUCUUUGAACGCACAUUGCGCCCAUUGGUAUUCCUUUGGGCAUGUCUGUUUGAGCGUCAUUACAACCCUCAGCUAACCGCUGGUUUUGAACCGGAACGGGUAACUCCGCGCCGGUUUUAAAGUUGUAAGCUCUGCUGGCUGCUCUGCCAAACCAGAACAUAGUAAACACUACUUGUUCAAAGGUGAAGCUAAGCGGUACGGCCUGAACAAAACCUACCCAUUCUAAGGUUUGACCUCAGAUCAGAUAAGGAUACCCGCUGAACUUAAGC